GACGCACCACGAUUUGCCUUUUCCAUCCUAUCAACAAAUCAACAGGCCUCUUUAGGAAGAUACAAUUGGCUCGUACUUCCUCAAGUUUUAGGGGAGAAUCCACAGCUUCAUGGUCUAAUAUUCCAGUGGGAUCUAGAGAAGAAGGACCAUCUGAUAAUCUUAGAAUGUGCUUUUCUAUCUCGUCAGCUAGGUGUAGUGGAGAGAGGAGAAAGGUCUCUGCUAAAAGCGGUUUCCAAUGACCAGCUAUACAGUUUGCUCAAGAAAUUAAUCUUCCUUCUUUCUAUUCGAUAGGAACCUUACUUCAUAAUACACAUCGUUCACAUUCUGUGCUCCCAGGUUUCCUAGCAGAAGGCAAUGCUAUGGCUGAUCUUUUAGCCAUGUCAAUAUAGAAUACACUUCCCAACGUUAUUGAACAAGCCAGAAUGAGCCAUGCUUUCUAUCAUCAAAAUGCAGCUGUCUUUGUAAGAAUGUUUAACAUCUCUCAGAAUCAGGCUAAAGCGAUUGUCCAAUCAUGUAGAGAUUGCCAAAAAUUAGCCUUACCAGCAAUAGCAACAGAGGUUAACCCUCGAGGCUUAAAUAGCCUGCAGAUAUGGCAAACUGACAUAACUCAGUAUCAGUCAUUUGCACGGUUUAAACAUAUACACUUAUCAAUAGAUACGUUCUCAUGAGCAAUUUUCACUUCUGCACAUCAAGGAGAAAAGAGUAGAGAUGUAAUUAAACAUUUCUUACAAGCAUUUUCAUCCCUAGGCUUUCCUCAAGAAGUUAAAAUGGACAACAGACCAGCCAACAUUUCUAACAAACUACAGGAGUUUUUCAAAAUCUGGGGUAUCAAACACACCACAGGUAUUCCACAUUCCUCCACAAGCCAAUCUAUUGUAGAAAGAGCACACAGAUCACUGAAAAUGAUCCUUGAAAGGCAAAAGGAGGGACAGAGGUGCUGUCUACCAUAGAGAGGCUGAAUAAAGCUAUAUAUAUGUUUUUUAAUUUCUUAAAUAAUUCUUUUAUGGUGCACAAAAGUAAUUGAAAAAAUACAAUGUUAUUUUGCAUUCCCAAUGCAGCCAGCAAAUCCCUUUCCAGUGAAUUAUAAUUACAAUUAGGAACAAAUAGAAAUGCAUGCAUUUCAAACGUAACACCCACAUGUACUAAUUGUGGUU
Molecule: long non-coding RNA, 1154 nt
Organism: Vidua macroura (Pin-tailed whydah)
Lineage: Eukaryota; Metazoa; Chordata; Aves; Passeriformes; Viduidae
Exons: 3
Source: RefSeq, a predicted model, not a curated record